Molecule: long non-coding RNA, 1359 nt
Filed under: Nicotiana benthamiana
Lineage: Eukaryota; Viridiplantae; Streptophyta; Magnoliopsida; Solanales; Solanaceae
Description: long non-coding RNA (NBEN_LNC022389)
Source: RNAcentral
UCACAACAUACAUGACAUGGAAGACGAUUACUCAAAUCAACUCUUAUUGACUAUAUAAACUCAAACACAUACCACUAUUGAGAAUAGAUUCAGUCAACAAGAAAUUUGAUCAUAACACAAAUAAACCACCCUAGAUUCAGUCUCAUUGCUCAAAAAACACUGAAACAAAACAGAAUCGCAUAGAAAUAAAGAGAGAAAAAUUAAACCUAAAGUUGCAAAUCUUCUUUUAUAACAAUGAUAAACUUGAUAAGACAACUCUUGACCCUAAAUCCUAGCGGGGUUUAGCAGCGAAUCAACAAGAAGAUAGUAGAAAACCAAGCUUGAACUUCAAGUUUUAUCUUCUUGGAACUCGAAUCCGUAUUCAAAAAUCAAGAAAAAAUUGUAUAUAUGUUUCUCUUGAACUUUGAAAGAAUUCAUCACAGAAAAUAAACUCCGAAAAACCACUAGUUCCAAGAAACCUUUCAACUUUUUUUCUGAAUUUGUUCACUGAGUCCCCCCUUCACAAAAUCGUAUAAGGCCACUUAUGAAGACGAAUCAUUGAUAAAUGAGGGGCUCGGAUUGAGGGAGAUCAAUCUAACGCCUCACACUCAUCCAGCAUAUCAUUUCCAGAACCUUCCAAUUGUGAUACAAUUCGAAUUCGAGUGAGUGAGGGGGAAACAGAAUCUUGUGUCCGAAAUCGUUAGCAACGGUAAGAUGGGAGAAGGAGGGACGAAAUAUAUAUUUUUUUGUUGACUAUUCCUUUUUUGAAUAGUAAUCUAAAAUGAACAUAAAAUUUUCUAAAUAACAAUAAGCAUUGUUCGAAUGUAUAUCUUUUUCCUGUUCAAAAACUAGAUUAGAGACUGAUAAGAAGAAGAAGAAGAAGAAGAAGAAUCAUUUUUUCAGCUUUUGUCCUCAAAAAUUCCUCUCAAGAUCGAAAACUUCUUCCCCGAAUUAUAAAAGAAGCCUCACCUUAUACCUCUCAUGAAAAUCUUACCUCCCAUUUUAGAAAUCCAAAAUUUUAAAUCUUGAAAUGAGUAAAAGAGAAGUGGAGGGAGUAGAUCGAGUGGGACUCAAUCCUACGCCUCCCAUUCAUCCUAAUCUCAUCUUCAGAUUUUAACUAGGAUAAUAUGAGUGCCUGAGGGAAAAGGAAUAAGAUUUCAUUCGUACAAAAUAAUUAUUUUUUAGUUCAUGUGGAAGGAGAUGAGAGGAGACACCAUGUGAUGGUUAGAUGGGAAUUUACGGUGAAGGUGAGUGGUUGUAGCGCGAUAGAAGUUGGAGGAGGAAUGAAGGCGCCUAAGUGGGUCUUAGAAUUAGGAUUAGGGUUUGGGGAAAAGAUGGCUUAUGUUUAUUUUGGGGAAAAAGACAUGGGUCUUGGAUCAU